CUUACUUUUAAUUCUCUACAUAAUGUUGUUCCCACCUAUCUAUUCUCUCUAAUAUGUCCCAUCUAGGCCCUUACGAUCUGCUGAAGACUUACGUCUAUCUUCUGUCCGUACUCCCACCUUUGAUGCUCGCCUUCAAGAUUUCUCGAGGGCUGCACCGUUCCUGUGGAACUCGCUUCCCUCCUCCGUUUGAUGCUCACCCAGUCUCUACUCCUUCAAAAAAAAUCAUUAAAAACCCACUUCUUCAUAAAAGCGUAUCAAUUAAACUGUUA
Pelobates cultripes (western spadefoot toad) is the source of this 269-nucleotide non-coding RNA. NCBI's taxonomy places the organism in Eukaryota, Metazoa, Chordata, Amphibia, Anura, Pelobatidae. The record is from the annotation of a GenBank genome assembly.